AGAGUAUGCCUACGGAGGGCAGCAGUGGGGAAUAUUGCACAAUGGGGGAAACCCUGAUGCAGCGACGCCGAGUGAGGGAAGAAGGUUUUCGGAUUGUAAACCUCUGUCCUUGGUGAAGAUAAUGACGGUAACCAAGGAGGAAGCUACGGCUAACUACGUGCC
This 162-nucleotide ribosomal RNA is filed under the name uncultured bacterium. Its description in RNAcentral is "partial 16S ribosomal RNA". It matches the Rfam family "Bacterial small subunit ribosomal RNA", at positions 330 to 509 of the family's 1533-position model. The record is from RNAcentral.